This 186-nucleotide small nuclear RNA is filed under the name Trichoderma reesei QM6a. Its description in RNAcentral is "A. fumigatus sRNA Afu_182". It matches the Rfam family "A. fumigatus sRNA Afu_182". Lineage: Eukaryota; Fungi; Ascomycota; Sordariomycetes; Hypocreales; Hypocreaceae. The record is from Rfam by way of RNAcentral.
UCAUGAACAACGCAAAAAAUCACGUUCGGGUUUCUCAAAAACCUACUUAAAAAGUAAACCUGGCACGAGGUGCGAGCCCACGACUGCCGGGGACCUGAGGAACGAAACGGAGAAGAAAGCGAGCAAUCUUGGGUGCGGUGCUCCCUCUACAAAAAAUGGAGAGGACCGCAAUGAUUGAACGUACAU